This 203-nucleotide unclassified non-coding RNA is filed under the name Hevea brasiliensis (rubber tree). The record is from RNAcentral. Lineage: Eukaryota; Viridiplantae; Streptophyta; Magnoliopsida; Malpighiales; Euphorbiaceae.
GUACAAUCCAAAGACAUAUCUCAAUCUCAAACACAUCAUAUUAUGCAAACUAUAUAAUGAUCAACUAUAUUACGCAAAUUAUAGCACAAAUGUACAAUCUAAACACACAUCUCAAUCUCAAGCAUGUCAUUUCACAAUACCCAUUUAGCAAAAAGUAUAUCACAAUACCCAUCUAACAAAUCUAACAAAAAAAAUUAAAAAGA